GAGCCGCACCUGCUGCCUCGCCUGGCCCGCAAGCAACAGGCUCCGGGGCCGGGACCGCGCGCCGCUCUCGUGCCCGUGGCGCGUGUGCGCGCCCCGCAGCCGGACCAAGCUCUGGAGCGCAAUAAAGUCAACUGCUGGGCCAGACCCAGGACCUCCCUGUAAAAAGCAGGCUUCCUUUGGCUGGAUGAACACGAGUCUGAAACAAAAUUUAAAGGUUGGGAAUAUCACAGCUGCACAUAUAUUGAAAAAGAUAUGGAACUCAUAGAAGAAGAAUUAAUCUUCCUACAUUUAAAAUUAAAAAGAGAUGAAUGGAAAAAGCCAGCACAGAGGGGAAGGACAAGAUGAGGAUCUCCAAUGCCCGAACAUGGAGAAGAUCCAGCACUUUGCAGGGAGCCACAGCCAGGCUUUGUAACAGGAGAGGAAGUCAUCUGGAAAAUGGCAUUUCUCACACACCGGCUGUAAGUCAAUCUCCUGGGUAAGCGUAUCAAGUUAAACAACACUUGCAGGUCUCUCAUUUCUAUGAAUGUAAUAAGAUUCCAGCAAUAGAAUCAUUCUUUUGUUCAGUAGUUUCCCACCUGCUGCUCGAAUCCUACUAAAGUCGCCUCUCCAAAGUCUUGCCCACCAAGUUUCAUCUGCUUAGUCCCAUAUGUCCCUUUGGUGGGCAAAAUACUGUAGAUCAGUAGGAACAGAAGUCACCCUGAGGUGCAGCCAAGCAAGAAAUAAAGCUGAGCUGUGAGCACUGAAAUGUAGGUCAGUUAACAGCUGGGCAAGGAGAGUGUGAGAACUUUGGAAGAAGUUAAGAAAUGGGAGGAAAGAAAGAGAACCGAAUACGGAUACAUAAAUGAUAACAAAAAGAAAUGAAGGUUUUCACAAA
This is a non-coding RNA of Miniopterus natalensis, 874 nucleotides long. NCBI's taxonomy places the organism in Eukaryota, Metazoa, Chordata, Mammalia, Chiroptera, Miniopteridae. The record is from RefSeq and is a predicted model, not a curated record.